GCCAUUUCCUGGAAGCUCUUGUUGCCACAGCCACAUGAACACAAACCUCCACCCAGCGCUGACCAAGAGCCAGGCCCUACCCCAGGACCUCACAGAUGUCACUUUAGUGAUCCUUUCAGCAACCUAAUGAGGUAGGACUAUCAUUAUUCCCUCUUCACAGAUGGGGAAACUGAGGCACGGGGCUGUAAAGUGACUUGCCCAAGGCCCCACUGGCAGUCAAUGGCAGAGCCAGGUACCCUCCCAGAGAUGCUCACGCCCUAAUCCUCAGGAUCUGCAAACAUGUCACCUUUCACGACAAAAGGACUUUGCAAAUACGCUGAAACAUCUUAAGAUGGCAAAAUUCUCCCAGGUCGUCUCAGUGGGUCCAAGGCUAUCGUGAUGAGAUCCCGGCUACCAUGCUUGGCAGGAAGACCACAAAAGGACAGGAGGCUCUCAGUGUGUCAUAGCAGGAGUGACCUUCCAAAGGUAACCUUCUUCCCAUGGAAAACAGAGGCGCAAAGAGGUGAGCUGAUGCGUGCGGGGUCCCCCAGCAGAGCCAGGACUCCAGCUCAGGCUCUCAGAACAAGGGCCAGGCGUAGUGGCUCACGCCAGUAAUGCUGGCUGA
Molecule: non-coding RNA, 604 nt
Organism: Saimiri boliviensis boliviensis (Bolivian squirrel monkey)
Lineage: Eukaryota; Metazoa; Chordata; Mammalia; Primates; Cebidae
Source: RefSeq, a predicted model, not a curated record